This 1500-nucleotide ribosomal RNA is filed under the name metagenome. Its description in RNAcentral is "bacterial SSU rRNA". It matches the Rfam family "Bacterial small subunit ribosomal RNA". The record is from RNAcentral.
AGAGUUUGAUCAUGGCUCAGAUUGAACGCUGGCGGCAGGCCUAACACAUGCAAGUCGAACGGUAACAGGAAGCAGCUUGCUGCUUCGCUGACGAGUGGCGGACGGGUGAGUAAUGUCUGGGAAGCUGCCUGAUGGAGGGGGAUAACUACUGGAAACGGUAGCUAAUACCGCAUAAUGUCGCAGGACCAAAGAGGGGGACCUUCGGGCCUCUUGCCAUCGGAUGUGCCCAGAUGGGAUUAGCUUGUUGGUGGGGUAACGGCUCACCAAGGCGACGAUCCCUAGCUGGUCUGAGAGGAUGACCAGCCACACUGGAACUGAGACACGGUCCAGACUCCUACGGGAGGCAGCAGUGGGGAAUAUUGCACAAUGGGCGCAAGCCUGAUGCAGCCAUGCCGCGUGUAUGAAGAAGGCCUUCGGGUUGUAAAGUACUUUCAGCGGGGAGGAAGGGAGUAAAGUUAAUACCUUUGCUCAUUGACGUUACCCGCAGAAGAAGCACCGGCUAACUCCGUGCCAGCAGCCGGGGUAAUACGGAGGGUGCAAGCGUUAAUCGGAAUUACUGGGCGUAAAGCGCACGCAGGCGGUUUGUUAAGUCAGAUGUGAAAUCCCCGGGCUCAACCUGGGAACUGCAUCUGAUACUGGCAAGCUUGAGUCUCAUAGAGGGGGGUAGAAUUCCAGGUGUAGCGGUGAAAUGCGUAGAGAUCUGGAGGAAUACCGGUGGCGAAGGCGGCCCCCUGGACGAAGACUGACGCUCAGGUGCGAAAGCGUGGGGAGCAAACAGGAUUAGAUACCCCGGUAGUCCACGCCGUAAACGAUGUCGACUUGGAGGUUGUGCCCUUGAGGCGUGGCUUCCGGAGCUAACGCGUUAAGUCGACCGCCUGGGGAGUACGGCCGCAAGGUUAAAACUCAAAUGAAUUGACGGGGGCCCGCACAAGCGGUGGAGCAUGUGGUUUAAUUCGAUGCAACGCGAAGAACCUUACCUGGUCUUGACAUCCACGGAAGUUUUCAGAGAUGAGAAUGUGCCUUCGGGAACCGUGAGACAGGUGCUGCAUGGCUGUCGUCAGCUCGUGUUGUGAAAUGUUGGGUUAAGUCCCGCAACGAGCGCAACCCUUAUCCUUUGUUGCCAGCGGUCCGGCCGGGAACUCAAAGGAGACUGCCAGUGAUAAACUGGAGGAAGGUGGGGAUGACGUCAAGUCAUCAUGGCCCUUACGACCAGGGCUACACACGUGCUACAAUGGCGCAUACAAAGAGAAGCGACCUCGCGAGAGCAAGCGGACCUCAUAAAGUGCGUCGUAGUCCGGAUUGGAGUCUGCAACUCGACUCCAUGAAGUCGGAAUCGCUAGUAAUCGUGGAUCAGAAUGCCACGGUGAAUACGUUCCCGGGCCUUGUACACACCGCCCGUCACACCAUGGGAGUGGGUUGCAAAAGAAGUAGGUAGCUUAACCUUCGGGAGGGCGCUUACCACUUUGUGAUUCAUGACUGGGGUGAGGUCGUAACAAGGUA